This 512-nucleotide ribosomal RNA is filed under the name uncultured Clostridium sp. RNAcentral describes it as "bacterial SSU rRNA". It matches the Rfam family "Bacterial small subunit ribosomal RNA", at positions 32 to 553 of the family's 1533-position model. Lineage: Bacteria; Bacillati; Bacillota; Clostridia; Eubacteriales; Clostridiaceae. The record is from RNAcentral.
AACGCUGGCGGCGUGCCUAACACAUGCAAGUCGAGCGGAAAUUAGCGGAUGGUAACUGAAGUUAAUUUUAGCGGCGGACGGGUGAGUAACACGUGGGCAACCUGCCUUGAAGUGGGGGAUAACACCGGGAAAUCGGUGCUAAUACCGCAUAACAUACACAUAUCGCAUGGUGAGUGUAUCAAAGGAGAAAUCCGCUUUAAGAUGGGCCCGCGGCUGAUUAGCUAGUUGGUAAGGUAACGGCUUACCAAGGCUCCGAUCAGUAGCCGACCUGAGAGGGUGACCGGCCACACUGGAACUGAGACACGGUCCAGACUCCUACGGGAGGCAGCAGUGGGGAAUAUUGCGCAAUGGGGGAAACCCUGACGCAGCAACGCCGCGUGGAGGAAGAAGGUUUUCGGAUUGUAAACUCCUGUCUUCUGGGACGAUAAUGACGGUACCAGAGGAGGAAGCCACGGCUAACUACGUGCCAGCAGCCGCGGUAAUACGUAGGUGGCGAGCGUUGUCCGGAAUUA